Molecule: ribosomal RNA, 552 nt
Filed under: uncultured bacterium
Lineage: Bacteria
Description: partial 16S ribosomal RNA
Rfam family: Bacterial small subunit ribosomal RNA
Source: RNAcentral
UGGGGAAUUUUGGACAAUGGGGGCAACCCUGAUCCAGCCAUCCCGCGUGUGCGAUGAAGGCCUUCGGGUUGUAAAGCACUUUUGGCAGGGAAGAAACAGCCUGGGAUAAUACCCCGGGCGACUGACGGUACCUGCAGAAUAAGCACCGGCUAACUACGUGCCAGCAGCCGCGGUAAUACGUAGGGUGCAAGCGUUAAUCGGAAUUACUGGGCGUAAAGCGUGCGCAGGCGGUUCGGAAAGAAAGGUGUGAAAUCCCAGGGCUUAACCUUGGAACUGCACUUUUAACUACCGAGCUAGAGUACGUCAGAGGGGGGUAGAAUUCCACGUGUAGCAGCGAAAUGCGUAGAGAUGUGGAGGAAUACCGAUGGCGAAGGCAGCCCCCUGGGAUGAUACUGACGCUCAUGCACGAAAGCGUGGGGAGCAAACAGGAUUAGAUACCCUGGUAGUCCACGCCCUAAACGAUGUCAACUAGCUGUUGGGGUUUAUUAACCUUAGUAGCGCAGCUAACGCGUGAAGUUGACCGCCUGGGGAGUACGGUCGCAAGAUUAAAAC